Molecule: long non-coding RNA, 2136 nt
Organism: Cyprinus carpio carpio
Lineage: Eukaryota; Metazoa; Chordata; Actinopteri; Cypriniformes; Cyprinidae
Source: Ensembl
GGAUAAGUCUUUUAUUGGCUGGUUGAUGUACAGUUGGUUCACCAAUCAAAUGAUAGCGACAGCACUAGCAUCUCAUUGGUUGGUGGGGUUAAAGUUCAUAUACCAAUGAAACGAUAGUAUCUAUACUAUUUAAGGACCUUUAUUAUGGCAGGUGGGUAUGUUUGUGACCUGGGGUGCUUCUCUCUCUCCCUGGCAUUUCCGUUUCCGUUUUGAUUCCUUCCUCAGUUUCAUUUAGAGCGCGUCUGGUGGCGUUGGCAGUGCGGCAACUCGCGGCGUAUUUCGGCUGCAGUAAUUGCAGCGAGAGCAGUGAAUGCUGGCUGGUAGACUGAGCUAUGACACCGGUUGUGAGUAACCAUAUAGCGUUGCAUCUAAUGUUUAUUCAAUAACAAUCUUAAGGGGAAAUUAAAACAUCUUAGUCCUCAUCUUGGCCAAUGAUUUCAGGCAGCUGCUGUUUUGCUUAGGGACGCAUUUUGGAGUCCGAUCUGCACUUUACGGUCUUUUGUGCUUUAAUACUUUGAGAGUUUACGAAACUGUAAAGACUGAGUAUUUUCUCCGCAUGGACUAUCUACCAGUUGAGGUUCUGGAUUGUUUUUUUCUUCUAACCGUAAUUGUUUGUUUUGUUUGUUUGGUUAUAUUGGACUUUUUUGGUAUUGAUUUGUUUACCCUGCAUUUUCUUCUGUAAGCAUAUUGUAUGCUGCAAGGGUUAUUUCUUUUUGAGUAUUUAUUGAUUUUGAUUUACGUUUUGGGUGUGGUGUUCUCUGGAUGCUCGAGUGCCAGAGUCGCGACAAAGUGUUUAUAAGUUUCUUUUUUUUUGCAUGUUUUCAUUUCUAUAAUUUUGUUGAAUUUCUUCUUUAAUGUUAUUUUCUGUUUCUCCAGGGCCAGUGAGGAUCGGGUGGAACUGGGGAGGCUAGCUGCUGUCAUUUUGCAGUGUGCGGUGUGUGUGGAUACAACUUCCCAUUGGUGUGUGUGAUGGUUGCUUUGGUGUGAAUUUAGGUGGGUUUUUGGAUAACCAUUCUGAGUUGCAGCCGGCCUGCCUGGUUCCCACUAAUCCUGGCCCUGGGAAUUACCUCCCUUAUUGUGGAAAUGGUUUGUGUGAGAGCGUUUUAAAUCUAUGCGUGUGUUUUAAAAUAAAAUCCAAUCUUUUGUAUUCUCGCCCCCGUCUCCCCUACUUUGCCUUCAUUUGGUGAAACUUACCUGUGUCCUUUAAUGGGAAUAAAUUCUCUGGUUUCCCACCAGGGUGGCGUAGUCGGAUAAAUUCACUGAUUAACCUUUCCUUUCAUGUGAUACCGCCACAUUAAGUUUUAAGUAAAAAUAGGUGGAGGGGUUUAUACAGUGAACAAGUCGUAGAAGCUACUUUUUAAUAUGUUUUUGUAAAUAAUUGCGAUUUCGAACAUUUUUCAUAGUUAUUUUAACAAGUGCAUACUAAUCAGUGAAUACCUAUCAUAAGUGAAUACAGAUGGUACUUUACAAUGGCAUAUGGAUUAGUCCUUUAAGGUUUACUUCCAUCAUAUAAAAAAAAUGCUUAUGUUGCUUUAGUUGACCUCAGGAAAAAAUCUAUCAAUCAAAAUCUAUCGAACAAUCACACCAUUAGAAAUACCCCAUAUAGAAACUAAACACACUGUAAACAUACAAAACCCCUUAGUUAGAGUAUUAUGAUAUAGCUUGUGUUUAGUGUGAAACCUUUGAUGCUCUGAUUUAAAGAGACAGGAAUGGAUGCAUUAAAUUGCCUUUAUGGAUCUUGUCAAGAUUGCUUUCCACAGGUUAAUCAUUUUUAAUGCAUGGCACAUGUGUGUAAUUAAAUCCUCCACUCCUAUGCUUCCUUUGAUUUAUAAGUUGCUUUAGCCCGGUGGGUCAUUAAUGCCCUCUUCAUUAGAGCUUGUUUACUGGAUUAAACACCUUUGGAGAGCCAAGCUUAGCAAAACUUUUGCAUCAUGGAACAAGAAAUAAUCAGAUCUCAUUGGCAAGGUCGCCCCAUGGGUUUGUCGAGCUUUAUUUAAAUAGGCCCAACUGGAGUGAAAAUUGUUGUAACAUUAAAAAGUGCAUAGAAUGCACAUCAAACAUGAAGAGUGGAUCAUUUUUAAAAGAAUCCACUAAAAUGUCCAUGCACUUUUUUUCAACAUUACAAAAUUACGUUGU